AUGAUCCUUUGGGACCGCCUAGCUCACACCCACCUGAACCAUGAGGCCAUGGACUCAGUUACGUGGGCCUGGGAGAAGAGUGGCGAAUACUCGGUCAGAUCGGCCUACCAAGCAAGAUUCAUGGGACGCGAGAUCAUUCCCACGGCAGACUUCACUUGGAAAUCGAGGGCACCGCUGAGAUGCCGCUUCUUCGCUUGGAUAGCUCUGCAGAACAGAUGUUGGACCUCAGAUCGACUUGCCAGGCACGGACUUGACCACCAGGAGGCAUGCCCUUUCUGCGACCAGCAUGAAGAGAGCAUCGACCACAUUCUACUCCACUGUGUCUUUGCACGACAGGUUUGGUCCAUCAUUUGUACGGCGAUGAACAAGCCCAACUGGACACCUCGACAGGGAUCAUCACUUUCGGACUGGUGCAUCACCACUCAAGACCUGGGCAGGAGGACCAAGGAUGGUAGGGCUGUCUAUCUCCGGACAAUGUGGGAGCUAUGGAAGCACCGCAACGCCAUUGUGUUCCAUGGGGCCUCUCCCUCCAUACGUACGAUUGUCCACCACAUUGAGGACGAGGGGCGUGCUUGGAGCAAAGUUGGGAUCCUCAAGGGAGACAUAGAGCCUCUAUUCGGAGCGCUUAGAAGGUGGGCGAGCGAGAGUAGUUAG
This 654-nucleotide ribosomal RNA is filed under the name Triticum aestivum (bread wheat). RNAcentral's name for it is "partial small subunit ribosomal RNA". Lineage: Eukaryota; Viridiplantae; Streptophyta; Magnoliopsida; Poales; Poaceae. The record is from RNAcentral.